Molecule: unclassified non-coding RNA, 210 nt
Filed under: plant metagenome
Description: partial contains small subunit ribosomal RNA, internal transcribed spacer 1, and 5.8S ribosomal RNA
Source: RNAcentral
ACUCCGUUGGUGAACCAGCGGAGGGAUCAUUACUGGAAUCGCAAGAUCCCACAACCCCUGUGAACCUACCGAAACGUUGCCUCGGCGGGCGCCCGGCCCCGCGCCCGGCGCCCAGCCCGCCGGCGGCCCCCUACUCUUGUCUCUGCAGCGUGGCAACUCAGAGUCCCAGAAAACAAGUAAAAACUUUCAACAACGGAUCUCUUGGCUCUG